CUGCUGGAAUACUAAACAAUUAUUAUGGCUUUUCUUGGACAACUACGAUCGUAGGAUUCUUAAUGGCUGGACAGUUUUUGGUCACUUCUAUUUUCUACAAAUUUAACAGGGACAGGAAGCACGACAAAAGG
Molecule: long non-coding RNA, 131 nt
Organism: Exaiptasia diaphana
Lineage: Eukaryota; Metazoa; Cnidaria; Anthozoa; Actiniaria; Aiptasiidae
Exons: 4
Source: RefSeq, a predicted model, not a curated record